This 414-nucleotide ribosomal RNA is filed under the name uncultured bacterium. RNAcentral's name for it is "bacterial SSU rRNA". It matches the Rfam family "Bacterial small subunit ribosomal RNA", at positions 29 to 438 of the family's 1533-position model. The record is from RNAcentral.
AAUGAACGCUGGCGGCAUGGCUAAGACAUGCAAGUCGAACGGACUAUGUUGAAGAGUAAUCCGAUUCAUAGUUAGUGGCGAAAGGGUGAGGAAUAGACAGGUAACGUACCUUUGGCUUCGGAAUAGCCUAUCGAAAGGUAGGGUAAUGCCGGAUGAUGUCAUCCGUAUAAUGCGGGUGACCAAAGAUUUAUCGGACAAAGAGCGGCCUGUUUCCUAUCAGCUUGUUGGUGAGGUAAUGGCUCACCAAGGCAACGACGGGUAGCGGGACUGAGAGGUUGGCCCGCCACAUCGGGACUGAGACACUGCCCGGACCUCCACGGAGGGCUGCAGUAACGAAUAUUGGGCAAUGGGCGAAAGCCUGACCCAGCAAUGCCGCGUGUAGGAUGAAGCUUUUCGGAGUGUAAACUACUUUCA